RNAcentral lists this ribosomal RNA (468 nucleotides) under uncultured bacterium. RNAcentral describes it as "partial 16S ribosomal RNA". It matches the Rfam family "Bacterial small subunit ribosomal RNA", at positions 28 to 507 of the family's 1533-position model. The record is from RNAcentral.
GACGAACGCUGGCGGCGUGCUUAACACAUGCAAGUCGAACGGAAAGGCACUGCUUUUGUGGGGUGAUCGAGUGGCGAACGGGUGAGUAACACGUGAGUAACCUGCCCUUGACUUUGGGAUAACUUCAGGAAACGGGGGCUAAUACCGGAUAGGAGCUGCUGCUGCAUGGUGGGGGGUGGAAAGUUUCGGCGGUUGGGGAUGGAUGCGCGGCUUAUCAGCUUGUUGGUUGGGGAGUGGCUUACCAAGGCUUUGACGGGUAGCCGGCCUGAGAGGGUGACCGGCCACCUUGGGACUGAGAUACGGACCAGACUCCAACGGGAGGCAGCAGUGGGGAAUAUUGCACAACCGGACGAAGCCUGAUGCAGAAACGUUGCGUGCGGGAUGACGGCCUUCGGGUUGUAAAAAGCUUUCGCCUGUGACGAAGCGGGAGUGACGGUAAUGGGUAAAGAAGCACCGGCUAACUACGUG